UGGGCAACCUGCCCUCAGCUCUGGGAUAACUCCAAGAAAUUGGGGCUAAUACCGGAUAUGACCGCUGACCGCAUGGUCUGGUGGUGGAAAGAUUUAUCGGCUGGGGAUGGGCCCGCGGCCUAUCAGCUUGUUGGUGAGGUAAUAGCUCACCAAGGCGAUGACGGGUAGCCGGCCUGAGAGGGUGACCGGCCACACUGGGACUGAGACACGGCCCAGACCUCCGUACGGGA
This 230-nucleotide ribosomal RNA is filed under the name uncultured bacterium. Its description in RNAcentral is "partial 16S ribosomal RNA". It matches the Rfam family "Bacterial small subunit ribosomal RNA", at positions 118 to 346 of the family's 1533-position model. The record is from RNAcentral.